ACGGAGGAUUCGAGCGUUAUCCGGAUUUAUUGGGUUUAAAGGGUGCGUAGGCGGGUUUGUAAGUCAGUGGUGAAAGUUUCCGGCUUAACCGGGAGAAUGCCGUUGAGACUGCAAAUCUUGAGUGCAAGCGAGGUAAGUGGAAUGUGUUGUGUAGCGGUGAAAUGCAUAGAUAUAACACAGAACACCGAUUGCGAAGGCAGCUUACUAGUAUGUAACUGACGCUGAGGCACGAAAGCGUGGGGAGCAAACAG
RNAcentral lists this ribosomal RNA (251 nucleotides) under uncultured bacterium. Its description in RNAcentral is "partial 16S ribosomal RNA". It matches the Rfam family "Bacterial small subunit ribosomal RNA", at positions 525 to 775 of the family's 1533-position model. The record is from RNAcentral.